Molecule: long non-coding RNA, 443 nt
Organism: Lemur catta (Ring-tailed lemur)
Lineage: Eukaryota; Metazoa; Chordata; Mammalia; Primates; Lemuridae
Exons: 3
Source: RefSeq, a predicted model, not a curated record
UGUAUUGUCCUCCUUCUGUGGUGGAGCAUAAUCAAAAUGGCUUCCAGCUGGUCCUUAGUGGGGACGAGGAGGCUCCAGGCCUUAGACGUGAGCCAUAGGCCAGAAAUGGCAGACUGACUAGAUGAGGAAGGGGGAGCCCCAAAUCAAAGCCCCAGCAUGAGAUCCUGGAAAAAACCCUCUUGUUCAGUGGACCAAACGCAGCCCUCCUCAUGGUUAGAGGGACAUCACACUUCCUGUCAGCCUUAUCCUUUAAAGCUUCAUCCUCAACCGGCUUCCCACCGGGCUCUUGCCUCAAGUGCUGUGACUACUUCCUUGCUGCCAAAUGGAAGUUCCAUGGAAGCAGAGCUCUGUCUUGUUCUCAGUUUUGUUCCUAGCACCUAGCCCAAGUCCUUGGAUCCUACUGUAAACAGGGUCUCACUAUGUUGUCCACACUGGUCUCAAAC